Molecule: ribosomal RNA, 301 nt
Filed under: uncultured bacterium
Lineage: Bacteria
Description: partial 16S ribosomal RNA
Rfam family: Bacterial small subunit ribosomal RNA
Source: RNAcentral
CAGUAGCCACGGUAAUACGAAGGGGGCUAGCGUUGCUCGGAAUCACUGGGCGUAAAGGGUGCGUAGGCGGGUUUUUAAGUCAGAGGUGAAAUCCUGGAGCUCAACUCCAGAACUGCCUUUGAUACUGAAAGUCUUGAGUAUGGGAGAGGUGAGUGGAACUGCGAGUGUAGAGGUGAAAUUCGUAGAUAUUCGCAAGAACACCAGUGGCGAAGGCGGCUCACUGGCCCAUAACUGACGCUGAGGCACGAAAGCGUGGGGAGCAAACAGGAUUAGAGACCCCUGUAGUCCCUGUCUCUUAUAC